GACGAACGCUGGCGGCGUGCUUAACACAUGCCAGUCGAACGGAAAGGCCCUGCUUUUGUGGGGUUCUCGAUUGGCGAACGGGUGAGUAACACGUGAGUAACCUGCCCUUGACUUUGGGAUAACUUCAGGAAACUGGGGCUAAUACCGGAUAGGAGCUCCUGCUGCAUGGUGGGGGUUGGAAAGUUUCGGCGGUUGGGGAUGGACUCGCGGCUUAUCAGCUUGUUUGUGGGGUAGUGGCUUACCAAGGCUUUGACGGGUAGCCGGCCUGGGAGGGUGACCGGCCACCUUGGGACUGAGAUACGGCCCAGACUCCUACGGGAGGCAGCAGUGGGGAAUAUUGCACAACGGGCGGAAGCCUGAUGCAGCAACGCCGCGUGCGGGAUGACGGCCUUCGGGUUGUAAACCGCUUUCGACUGUGACGAAGCGUGAGUGACGGUAAUGGGUAAAGAAGCACCGGCUAACUACGUG
RNAcentral lists this ribosomal RNA (468 nucleotides) under uncultured bacterium. Its description in RNAcentral is "partial 16S ribosomal RNA". It matches the Rfam family "Bacterial small subunit ribosomal RNA", at positions 28 to 507 of the family's 1533-position model. The record is from RNAcentral.